This 1437-nucleotide long non-coding RNA is filed under the name Homo sapiens (human). RNAcentral's name for it is "HSALNT0290527". The record is from RNAcentral. Lineage: Eukaryota; Metazoa; Chordata; Mammalia; Primates; Hominidae.
CUCCAUUUCCAUAUCUCUAGAACAGAGGGGAUGAUGUGUCACAGAGUUCAAGGUACCAGAACCACAGAAAGCAUCUGGAACAGCCCUCCGGUGGCAUUUUUGGUGAUGGUUCCUUAUAUCCUCGCUCCAAACGAUUUGAGGCCAGUGGUUCUUACUGAGGAGUCUCCUCUGGUGCUGGAGCUGGCAUCUGGGAUCUCCGUGGGCCUGUUAGAUCCUAGACCUACAGAUCGCUCAGCUAAAAGGGACCUGGGAGAUCGAAUGGAGCCCGUUAAAUCACGUCACGGAGAAAACGACUGACUUUGCUACUUCAGUGAAAUUAUCACAUCAGUCACCAGCUCAUCUCCCAUGCCUCCGACAACAGAGCGAGGGAGGGUCGGGGGCGCCGCGAAUGGCUCCUGAGACCCACUGAGGACGUGCAUCACAUGUCUUCUGGCUGCUCUCUGAGGAGAUGGAAUGCAGAUGGCUCCAAUGAACUCAGCCCCAUGGGAUGACACCGUGCCAGGAUGCAGGAUGCAUGGUGACAAAUUUCAGAAUGUAAGCUCCAGGAGGGCAAGGACUUCAUCUUGUUCACUUGAAGCUGAAGCCCCAGCAUGUACAAUCCCGUGCUGAGUUGCUGGUUCAUCCCCAGCAUGUACAAUCCCGUGCUGAGUUGCUGGUUCAUCCCCAACAUGUACAAUUCCGUGCUGGGUCGCUGGUUCACCAGCAGAGAGGAGCAUUGAUUCUCUUUGGAAAAGAUAAUCUAUCUACACCCCUGGAACUGUGGCACAGUCUCACGGAGGGCCUGCUUCCAUUCGGGUCAACGGCGAAAAAACGAAUAAACGUGAGCCGCCAUCAGGUGAGGACAUGGAAGCACAGGGAGGUUAUGCCACUCGCCCAAAGACAACUAAUCAGUGACAGCUGAGACUUGGACUGCAGAACCUACACUUUAUAACUAUUUUACAGUUCUGGGCGUCACGGAAUCUUGCAUGAAGAGCCCCUAACCUGGCCCGGGUGGAGGUCAGGGAGGUCUUCCUGGAAGAGGGGGUUCUUGGCAGCAACUUGCUGGAUUUGGUGUUCCCUGUUGGUUGGUCAGUCGCUAGACAGUUAUUCACUGAGCUCUGAGAACAGGCUGGGCCCUGCUCCAGGCCUUGGUUGGACAGCAGGGAACAAGGCUGGGGGAAAUGACUCCCGAGAAAAUGGACAUGUGUGACCCUGGGUUCUGGGAAGGCAGGGAGGGAAGACAAGUACCAGAGGCACAGCGAGGGUCUCUCUGGAGCCACAGGGAGAGGGGAGGGAUGCACAGGCCUGGUGUGCUGCAGGGCCUGAGCCUGUGGCUGCUUCUGGCCAGGAAAGAAGCCAACGUUACUUAAAGAAGUUAUUCAUGUAACCAAAUACCACCUGUUCCCCAAAACCCUAUGGAAAUAAAAAAUUAAAAAAAAUAAAAAAGAGUAAGCAACA